Octodon degus (degu) is the source of this 352-nucleotide long non-coding RNA. RefSeq lists it as uncharacterized. The record is from RefSeq and is a predicted model, not a curated record. Lineage: Eukaryota; Metazoa; Chordata; Mammalia; Rodentia; Octodontidae. The transcript is spliced from 3 exons.
UCUCCUGUGUUCCCUGCAUUUCCCAGUGAUUCCUCAGAUGGCCCGCUACACCCCCUCUGUGCCACUGAGCAGUGUGAUAAGGUGACUAAGCCGAACAGAUGAGGCUUAGAUACAAACCUGAUACGGACCUACAUAGAGCUGUAGUGUCAGAGCUGCCCUCUUUGCCCCAGGUCACACUAAUGCUGCUGUGUUCCCCACCAAAACUCAUACGGAAAUUUCAUCUCCAAUGUGAGGUACUAAAAGUGAGACCGGCAGGAAACUUUAAGAAGCAGCUGGAGCCAAGUAUGUUGGUGCAAACCUGUAAUCCCAGUACUCAGGAAGCUGAGGCAGGAGGAUUGUGGCAAGUUCGAGA